This 360-nucleotide long non-coding RNA is filed under the name Panax ginseng (ginseng). Its description in RNAcentral is "long non-coding RNA (PGIN_LNC012481)". The record is from RNAcentral. Lineage: Eukaryota; Viridiplantae; Streptophyta; Magnoliopsida; Apiales; Araliaceae.
AAAGCCCCAACUUCGAUCAAAUCGAUUAAAGCCCAAAUAAAACCUAGGUCUCAAAAUCAAAAACAAUGUACAGAUAUUAUCUCAUCGUUCUCACUUUUGAUCCAUUUGAAAUUGAUUAGCAUGCAGUAGACCAACUGAAGGUAAUGUAUAGUAAAUAGCACUGAGAUGGCAAGCGAUACUUUGAAGAUCAAUCAUUGAAUUUCAAUUCCAGCUAUGAGGGCAUAACUGCAACCUGAGAAAUCCGAAGAUCAAUCUCAUCAAAUUUACUUUUACAAUUGUUGCUGGACAACGUGGUCUUCCCUUUUUUUUGUUUUUUCCAAUCUAAUAAAAGCUUUAAGCUCUAUAUCUCAUCAAAUCGAU